UGCAGAAUCCCGUGAACCAUCGAGUUUUUGAACGCAAGUUGCGCCCAAAGCCAUUAGGCUAAGGGCACGUCUGCCUGGGCGUCACGC
RNAcentral lists this ribosomal RNA (87 nucleotides) under Ilex verticillata (winterberry). RNAcentral describes it as "partial 5.8S ribosomal RNA". It matches the Rfam family "5.8S ribosomal RNA", at positions 73 to 154 of the family's 154-position model. From Rfam's summary of the family: 5.8S ribosomal RNA (5.8S rRNA) is a component of the large subunit of the eukaryotic ribosome. It is transcribed by RNA polymerase I as part of the 45S precursor that also contains 18S and 28S rRNA. The record is from RNAcentral. Lineage: Eukaryota; Viridiplantae; Streptophyta; Magnoliopsida; Aquifoliales; Aquifoliaceae.